Molecule: ribosomal RNA, 870 nt
Filed under: uncultured Haemophilus sp.
Lineage: Bacteria; Pseudomonadati; Pseudomonadota; Gammaproteobacteria; Pasteurellales; Pasteurellaceae
Description: bacterial SSU rRNA
Rfam family: Bacterial small subunit ribosomal RNA
Source: RNAcentral
GGAAUUGGGGUUAGAGUUUGAUGUGGGUUAGAUUGAAAGGUGGGGGGAGGGUUAAAAAAUGCAAGUAGAAAGGUAGGAGGAGAAAGUUGGUUUUUUGGUGAGGAGUGGGGGAAGGGUGAGUAAUGUUUGGGAAUUUGGGCUAUGGAGGGGGGAUAAAGAGGGGAAAAUGUUGGUAAUACCGCGUAUUAUCGGAAGAUGAAAGUGCGAGACUUAGAGGCCGCAUGCAUAGGAUGAGCCCAAGUGGGAUUAGGUAGUUGGUGGGGUAAAGGCCUAACAAGCCUGCGAUCUCUAGCUGGUUCUGAGAGGAUGACCAGCCACACUGGAACUGAGACACGGUCCAGACUCCUACGGGAGGCAGCAGUGGGGAAUAUUCCGCAAUGGGGGGAACCCUCACGCAGCCAUGCCCGUUAAAUGAAGAAGGCCUUAGGGUUGUAAAGUUCUUUCGGUAUUGAGGAAGGUUGAUGUGUUAAUAGCACAUCAAAUUGACGUUAAAUACAGAAGAAGCACCGCCUAACUCCGUGCCAGCAGCCGCGGUAAUACGGAGGGUGCGAGCGUUAAUCGGAAUAACUGGGCGUAAAGGCCACGCAGGCGGUUAUUUAAGUGAGUUGUGAAAGCCCCGGGCUUAACCUGGGAAUUGCAUUUCAGACUGUUUAACUAGAGUACUUUAGGGAGGGGUAGAAUUCCACGUUUUAGCGUUAAAAUCCUUAAAAAUUUGAAGAAAUACCAAAGCCGAAGGCAGGCCCCUUGGGAAUUUACUAACCCUCAUUUCCAAAACCUUGGAAACCAAACAUAAUUAAAUACCCUUUUAUUCAACCCAAAUUCUUUUAAACCUCCAGACUAGUCCCUUUAUGAGUUUAAUUCUGACCUUCC